UACAUAUCCUGUUUUUUUAUUGUUAUUUAUCAUCUUUCUUUUAAUGCAGUAUUUAAGAGACCCUUCUUGGAUGACUUUUUAGGAUUUUUCUUUGAGAGAUUUGACGUUGCCAUUUGGUCUUCAAGAACCAGGAAAAUUUUGGACCCUGUGGUUGAUUAUUUGUUAGGGGAUUUGAAGAAGAAGCUGGUGUUUAUUUGGGACAUAUCUCACUGCACCAAUUCAAGUGCCCGAAGCCUUGAAAACUAUCACAAGUUCAUAGUCUUCAAGAAACUGGGAAGAUAUGGGAAGGAAAUGGUCGUAUCGCCUAAUCCU
This is a long non-coding RNA of Helianthus annuus (common sunflower), 312 nucleotides long. RefSeq lists it as uncharacterized. The record is from RefSeq and is a predicted model, not a curated record. The transcript is spliced from 3 exons. Lineage: Eukaryota; Viridiplantae; Streptophyta; Magnoliopsida; Asterales; Asteraceae.